UCAUGUUUAGCCGUGAUGCGUGCAUGAGCCUGUUUAUUAAUCCGCUCUCCCUCUCUCUCUCCCCCUCUCUCUCUUUCAUUUUCUUAUUAUUACUUUAUUAUUUUCUCUUUCGACACAAGCGAAGCUAUGUCAGUUGGACACGCGCUCGGAAAUCCUAUCUACACCUCUCGCGCGGGUGACGGGUGUUAUUUGGCCCGACACUCUGCUCUCUCCCUCCAUCCAACCUUAUCUUCUCAGUCGGCUGCCCUCAACCUUGUCUUCCCCGGUCGCCCCCCACGCGUUCUUCUCCACAUACAUGCGCAGAACUCCCACAACGCCCACCCAUCCCCUCCCUCCUUCCCAGCUCUGGAUCCAGAUGGAAUCGAGGCCACAACCGAGCGUCUCCUCAUGGCCUCUUCACGAGCUCCCACUGCCGCCUGGAGCUCAAGCUGCCAGCCGUCCAAGGCCUCGCCAGGAACGGAUCCGCGACACCGUGCCUCGUCCUCGCACAUGCCCGGCCGCGCCAUCGGAGCCCCCCGCAGAGGCAGUGCUCCGCCACCCGAUGCUGUUCUUCGUGUCGCCCCACGCUCCCAAAGCUGGGAACCGGCUCCCCGCCUCCAAGUUCUCGGCAUCGACGUCCCGUGCUGCCUGCACCCUCGCCAAGCCCGACUCGCAGCCGUGGAGCCCGAGCUCGCCAAGGCGCUUCAACUCCGCUGCCGCGCCAUACCUCUCUCUGUCGCUCCGUCCGCCGCCCGUGGUGCCGUGACCCGCCACUGCCGUGCCCUGCAUCGCUCUGUAGCCGCGCCGCCUGGGUCGAUGCGGUCAGCGCUCCCAAGCCGUUGACCCUGCGCCAGGGGACGACUAUAUCCUCCCAUGCGUGCGCGCCCGUGCUCCAGCCCUCCCCUCCCCAUGCUGCCGGCACACUCGCGCCACGGGGCCGUAUCCAGCCUGUGCCUGGACGACGGAAGCCCCCCCACUGUCCGUGCGCUCCGGCCAGCUCCCUGUCGCGCUCGAGACCUCCUCUAGUCUUCCCGCCGAGGCCUUCCCUGUGACCAGCCUUUGACUUGGGUCUCCUGUCCGCCUCGGCGCGGACGCCCGCCACGACGCCGGCGGCAAGCGGCGGCGCGUGCCCGGCGAUGGAGAACGGAAGGAUAAGCGGCGAGACGCGUGGUGCUGAGCCAGUCAAUAAGGAAUAAGGGCCGCGGGCAUAGUUUCUAACAAAUUUAGGGGGUUUUACGCAAAAACGAAACGUUUUUCCAAAGUGCCACUUAAACAGGGACUGCGGGUUAAUUU
Triticum aestivum (bread wheat) is the source of this 1272-nucleotide long non-coding RNA. RefSeq lists it as uncharacterized. The record is from RefSeq and is a predicted model, not a curated record. The transcript is spliced from 2 exons. NCBI's taxonomy places the organism in Eukaryota, Viridiplantae, Streptophyta, Magnoliopsida, Poales, Poaceae.